GACCCAGUGGUGAAAGGAAUCACACUUGCAUUCCAUGAUUGCCGUCGUGGUAUAUAAGCAGGAGCUCCCGGUUCGAAUCCGGGUUGGGUCA
This is a non-coding RNA of Mycena epipterygia, 91 nucleotides long. NCBI's taxonomy places the organism in Eukaryota, Fungi, Basidiomycota, Agaricomycetes, Agaricales, Mycenaceae. The record is from the annotation of a GenBank genome assembly.